UCUGGCGGCAGUAGCGCGGUGGUCCCACCUGACCCCAUGCCGAACUCAGAAGUGAAACGUCGUAGCGCCGAUGGUAGUGUGGGGUCUCCCCAUGCGAGAGUAGGGAACUGCCAGAC
Molecule: ribosomal RNA, 116 nt
Filed under: Escherichia coli
Lineage: Bacteria; Pseudomonadati; Pseudomonadota; Gammaproteobacteria; Enterobacterales; Enterobacteriaceae
Also listed under: 6 other names
Source: RNAcentral